RNAcentral lists this ribosomal RNA (493 nucleotides) under uncultured bacterium. RNAcentral's name for it is "partial 16S ribosomal RNA". It matches the Rfam family "Bacterial small subunit ribosomal RNA", at positions 28 to 507 of the family's 1533-position model. The record is from RNAcentral.
GACGAACGCUGGCGGCGUGCCUAACACAUGCAAGUCGAGCGACGAACCAGAGCUUGCUCUUGGGCAAAGCAGCGGACGGGUGAGUAAUGCCUGGGUAACUUCCUCCGAUAACCGGGACAACCCCAGGAAACGCGGGUUAUUACCGGAUGUGCCCACUGGACUUCGGUUCAGUGCGUAAAGCAUCCUUCUGCCUCCUUAUCGGGGGUGGCACAGGUCCCAUUAGUUUGUUGGUGCGGUAACGGCCCACCAAGCCCGCGAUGGGUAGCUGGUCUGAGAGGAUGAUCAGCCACACUGGAACUGAGACACGGUCCAGACUCCUACGGGAGGCAGCAGUGGGGAAUCUUGCGCAAUGCGCGAAAGCGUGACGCAGCAACGCCGCGUGUGUGAAGAAGGCCUUCGGAUUGUAAACCCCUUUCAGGUGGGAGGAAGGUUAGGCAGUGAAUAGCCGGCCGGACUGACGGUACCUCCACAAGAAGCCCCGGCUAACUACGUG